Molecule: ribosomal RNA, 482 nt
Filed under: uncultured bacterium
Lineage: Bacteria
Description: partial 16S ribosomal RNA
Rfam family: Bacterial small subunit ribosomal RNA
Source: RNAcentral
GACGAACGCUGGAGGCGUGCUUAACACAUGCAAGUCGAACGAUGAAAUGGAGCUUGCUCCAUGGAUUAGUGGCGAACGGGUGAGUAACACGUGAAUAACCUGCCCUUAAUUUUGGAAUAACCCAGGGAAACCUGGGCUAAUACCGGAUAAGUAAACCUGUGGCAUCACAUGGUUUUGGAAAGUUUUUCGAUUAAGGAUGGAUUCGCGGCCUAUCAGCUUGUUGGUGAGGUAAUGGCUCACCAAGGCGACGACGGGUAGCCGGCCUGAGAGGGGGACCGGCCACACUGGGACUGAGACACGGCCCAGAGUCCUACGGGAGGCAGCAGUGGGGAAUAUUGCGCAAUGGACGAAAGUCUGACGCAGCGACGCCUCGUGAGGGACGAAGGUCUUCGGAUUGUAAACCUCUUUCAGCAGGGACGAAGCGAAAGUGACGGUACCUGCAGAAGAAGCACCGGCUAACUAUGUGCCAGCAGCCGCCGUAA